CACCAGGAGUCUUUCUUCUAACAAAGCAGUGCAAACAGGUGGUUUGUAGCCUAGGCAUGCAGGCUCCUUUUUGCCCCAAAGGCUCUUGAUGGCUUCUUUCUCCAGCUGUCCUAAAGGGAAAGGUGUUUAUUACCACUUAUACCUCCAGCCUUUUGUAUUUACAAUCUGCUUUACAAUUGCUUUUAUUAGCUCCAAUGUGAAUAUUAUUCCCUUUUUCACUUUGCCUUCUUGAGCUGCCUGAACUGGAAGAGAAGUACAUGGCUGAAGUUAUGGCUCCCUCCCAACUUUGAAAGUUCAAGAGGAGCACGGUGCAAGAUGCUGGAAUAAUUCUCAACCAACAAGAAAACAAACAAGGAGCUGCCCUCAGAGUGGAGUUGACAAAUUAAGCUUCAUCGUAUUGGAUUCCUUGGCAUCACUUGCACAUGAAAGGACCAGAAGCAAGGAAGGAAAGCUUAUAAGUGGAGAAGACAAAGACUCAGCUGGAAGAGAAUGAAUUGGAGGCACCUACUUUCAAGCCCAGAUUUUAAGAGAGAUGAUUUCAACUUGGCCUGACCAGAGAUGGAGGUUUUUCUAGCUGCAACCAGCCAAACUAUUUCAGUCUUUCAAGG
Molecule: long non-coding RNA, 608 nt
Organism: Heterocephalus glaber (naked mole-rat)
Lineage: Eukaryota; Metazoa; Chordata; Mammalia; Rodentia; Bathyergidae
Source: RefSeq, a predicted model, not a curated record